UAAGACGGAGGGUGCUAGCGUUGCUCGGAAUUACUGGGCGUAAAGGGCGCGUAGGCGGUCUGUUAAGUCCGGUGUGAAAGCCCCCGGCUCACCCGGGGAAGUGCGCCGGAAACUGGCAGACUAGAGUACCGGAGAGGAGGGUGGAAUUCCUGGUGUAGCGGUGAAAUGCGUAGAUAUCAGGAGGAACACCGGUGGCGAAGGCGGCCCUCUGGACGAGUACUGACGCUGAGGCGCGACAGCGUGGGGAUCAAACAGGAUUAGAUACCCUGGUAGUCCACGCCGUAAACGAUGGGAACUAGGUGUGGGGGGUAUUGACCCCUCCCGUGCCGCAGCUAACGCAUUAAGUUCCCCGCCUGGGGAUUACGGCCGCAAGGUUA
This 377-nucleotide ribosomal RNA is filed under the name uncultured bacterium. RNAcentral describes it as "bacterial SSU rRNA". It matches the Rfam family "Bacterial small subunit ribosomal RNA", at positions 521 to 896 of the family's 1533-position model. The record is from RNAcentral.